This 63-nucleotide transfer RNA is filed under the name Glossodoris acosti. RNAcentral's name for it is "tRNA-Arg". Lineage: Eukaryota; Metazoa; Mollusca; Gastropoda; Nudibranchia; Chromodorididae. The record is from RNAcentral.
UGUUUGAAAGCGAAUAUUUGCACUAAGUUUCGGCCUUAGUUUUGAGAAAAAUCUCUCAAACAG